UUAAUGUUUUAUUAAUUUUUGAUACAGGAGAGACAGAGCAUGAGAGGGGGAGGGUCAGAGAGAGAAGGAGACACAGAACCGGAAGCAGGCUCCAGGCUCUGAGCCAGCUGUCAGCACAGAGCCUGACGCGGGGCUCGAACCCACGAACGUGAGAUCUGACCUGAGCUGAAGCCGGAGGCUUAACCCACUGAGCCACCCAGGCGCCCCUGUGGAUGAUAUUUUGAAUUGCAGUAAAUAUUUGGCGAAUGGAUAAGAAGAAAAACAGAAGCAAAUACUUAAAUCAUUCCUUCAUCAGUGAUCGCUUAAUAAAUGCCAGGCACUGGAAUAUCAAAAUAAAAUUCAACGUGGCCCCUACAUCCAGGUAAUCCACAGCUGAGCAUGCUCUUGGAAAGGGGAAGCUGCAGACUGGAGACAGGUGGAGGCACCCGCUUGGUGCUCUGGGAGCAGAGGGGCCAGGCAUUGUCCUCUGAGCCGCGCAGUGCAGUUGGAAGCACGUUCCCGGGAGUGCCCGCGGCCGGUGGUGAGUGCACAGGGGCUCAUCUCAGCGUGAGGUGGAGAGGACCUGAUUCUGUUUGAGGGAGGAGGAUGGAGUGAUGGGGGCAGAGGAGAGGGAGUCCUUUUCUCCUGUUCUCUCUACUUUUCCUUUCUCUUCUCUCCAGUUCACCACCCGUCAGGCACUGUUUAAAUAAUGCCUCAAAAUAAACCUUCAUACUUGGAACUCUGCUCAGUUUGAC
This 734-nucleotide long non-coding RNA is filed under the name Suricata suricatta (meerkat). Its description in RNAcentral is "lncRNA (ENSSSUG00005020617.1)". The record is from RNAcentral. Lineage: Eukaryota; Metazoa; Chordata; Mammalia; Carnivora; Herpestidae.